UAUUUUCUGUUUCUUUUCUUUUUUUCCCCAUGCAUACGUGUCUUCUGGCAAUAUUUGUACUGGAAGCGCUCCCCACGCACAUACUUGCUCUGUGAAAACUUGAGAGAGAAUUCCUCUGCUCAAAAAAAGUGGAGCCGCAGGACGAAUUCUACGACCAGGCCUCACCGGACAAGAGGACUGAAGCUGACGGCAACUCCGACCCCAACUCCGUGCUGAAAGAAGAUAAGGACAAUUGAAGUGAUGUGACCUAUCACCUCAUAUGUGCUGUGGCGGCUCUCUCCAUGUGCUAUGGACCCAGUCACUCCCUGGGUAGAAUAACACACAAUUUCCAUUGAUUUUGGUGGGAGCUGAACACAGGCAA
RNAcentral lists this long non-coding RNA (361 nucleotides) under Dromaius novaehollandiae (emu). Its description in RNAcentral is "lncRNA (ENSDNVG00000005166.1)". Lineage: Eukaryota; Metazoa; Chordata; Aves; Casuariiformes; Dromaiidae. The record is from RNAcentral.